UACGUAGGGUGCGAGCGUUGUCCGGAAUUAUUGGGCGUAAAGGGCUCGUAGGCGGUUUGUCGCGUCGGGAGUGAAAACACCGGGCUUAACUCGGUGCUUGCUUUCGAUACGGGCAGACUAGAGGUAUGCAGGGGAGAACGGAAUUCCUGGUGUAGCGGUGAAAUGCGCAGAUAUCAGGAGGAACACCGGUGGCGAAGGCGGCCUUCUGGGCCUGUUCUGACGCUGAGGAGCGAAAGCGUGGGGAGCAAACAGG
This 253-nucleotide ribosomal RNA is filed under the name uncultured bacterium. RNAcentral describes it as "partial 16S ribosomal RNA". It matches the Rfam family "Bacterial small subunit ribosomal RNA", at positions 524 to 776 of the family's 1533-position model. The record is from RNAcentral.